AUACGGAGGAUCCAAGCGUUAUCCGGAUUUAUUGGGUUUAAAGGGUGCGCAGGCGGGAUAAUAAGUCAGUGGCGAAAGUUUGCAGCUUAACUGUAAAAUUGCCGUUGAAACUGUUAUUCUUGAGUGCAGACAAGGUAGGCGGAAUGUAUUGUGUAGCGGUGAAACGCUUAGAUAUAAUACAGAACCCCGAUUGCGAAGGCAGCUUACCGGACUGUAACUGACGCUCAGGCACGAAAGCGUGGGGAUCAAACAGGAUUAGAUACCCUGGUAGUCCACGCAGUAAACGAUGAAUACUAGCUGUUCGCGAUAUACAGCGAGUGGCACAGCGAAAGCGUUAAGUAUUCCACCUGGGGAGUACGUUCGCAAGAAUGAA
Molecule: ribosomal RNA, 373 nt
Filed under: uncultured bacterium
Lineage: Bacteria
Description: bacterial SSU rRNA
Rfam family: Bacterial small subunit ribosomal RNA
Source: RNAcentral